This 88-nucleotide transfer RNA is filed under the name Anaerotignum lactatifermentans. RNAcentral's name for it is "tRNA-Leu". It matches the Rfam family "tRNA". Rfam says of the family: Transfer RNA (tRNA) molecules are approximately 80 nucleotides in length. Lineage: Bacteria; Bacillati; Bacillota; Clostridia; Lachnospirales; Anaerotignaceae. The record is from RNAcentral.
GCGGAUGUGGCGGAAUUGGCAGACGCGCUAGAUUCAGGUUCUAGUGGGCAUUACGCCCGUGCAGGUUCAAGUCCUGUCAUCCGCACCA